AGUGAACGCUGGCGGUAGGCCUAACACAUGCAAGUCGAACGGCAACACAGUAAGAGCUUGCUUUUACCGGUGGCGAGUGGCGGGCGGGUGAGGAAUACAUCGGAAUCUACUUUUUCGUGGGGGAUAACGUAGGGAAACUUACGCUAAUACCGCAUACGACCUACGGGUGAAAGCAGGGGAUCUUCGGACCUUGCGCGAUUGAAUGAGCUGAUGUCGGAUUAGCUAGUUGGCGGGGUAAAGGCCCACCAAGGCGACGAUGCGUAGCUGGUCUGAGAGGAUGAUCAGCCACACUGGAACUGAGACACGGUCCAGACUCCUACGGGAGGCAGCAGUGGGGAAUAUUGGACAAUGGGCGCAAGCCUGACCCAGCCAUACCGCGUGGGUGAAGAAGGCCUUCGGGUUGUAAAGCCCUUUUGUUGGGAAAGAAAAGCAGCAGGUGAAUACCCCGCUGUUCUGACGGUACCCAAAGAAUAAGCACCGGCUAACUUCGUG
This 492-nucleotide ribosomal RNA is filed under the name uncultured bacterium. RNAcentral's name for it is "partial 16S ribosomal RNA". It matches the Rfam family "Bacterial small subunit ribosomal RNA", at positions 29 to 507 of the family's 1533-position model. The record is from RNAcentral.